CCUACGGGGUGCUGCAGUGAGGAAUAUUGGUCAAUGGACGCAAGUCUGAACCAGCCAUGCCGUGUGCAGGAAGAAGGCUCUAUGAGUUGUAAACUGCUUUUGUACGAGGGUAAACGCAGAUACGCGUAUCUGUCUGAAAGUAUCUUACGAAUAAGGAUCGGCUAACUCCAUGCCAGCAGCCGCGGUAAUACGGAGGCUUCAAGCGUUAUCCGGAUUUGUUGGGUUUAAAGGGUGCGUAGGCGGUCGGAUAAGUUAGAGGUGAAAUCCCGAGGCUCAACUUCGGAAUUGCCUCUGAUACUGUUAGGCUAGAGAGUAGUUGCGGUAGGCGGAAUGUAUGGUGUAGCGGUGAAAUGCUUAGAGAUCAUACAGAACACCGAUUGCGAAGGCAGCUUACCAAGCUACUUCUGACGUUGAGGCACGAAAGCGUGGGGAGCAAACAGGAUUAGAUACCCCUGUAGUC
This 460-nucleotide ribosomal RNA is filed under the name uncultured bacterium. Its description in RNAcentral is "partial 16S ribosomal RNA". It matches the Rfam family "Bacterial small subunit ribosomal RNA", at positions 338 to 795 of the family's 1533-position model. The record is from RNAcentral.